CUUUUUGUUUAACCCAUUUGUCAAAACAUACGCAAUUUUUGUUA
RNAcentral lists this non-coding RNA (44 nucleotides) under Plasmodium falciparum 3D7. Lineage: Eukaryota; Apicomplexa; Aconoidasida; Haemosporida; Plasmodiidae. The record is from RNAcentral.